RNAcentral lists this long non-coding RNA (1123 nucleotides) under Macaca fascicularis (crab-eating macaque). RNAcentral describes it as "lncRNA (ENSMFAG00000055624.1)". The record is from RNAcentral. Lineage: Eukaryota; Metazoa; Chordata; Mammalia; Primates; Cercopithecidae.
GAACCCUGUGAUUACCACCAGCACCCUGGACAGGUUCCAGGUGAUGUCCUGGAGCCUGUCUGACUCUGUGGAGGGACGUCCACAAGACCUGGGAUUCACCUGGAACAGAGCCAGCCUGCCCAACCUGCCUGGGACAGCUCCUCCCACCCACGACGGCACCCUGACCCAUCCCUCCUGGGGGAAAGGUAGUCUUUGCCAAGCUCUUUCUCCACAUCAUCGUCUGCCACAGAUGGCAUUCACUGCCGUCAGCCAUACAUGUUUCCAGGGCAUGAGAGCGUGGAGGGUGCCACAAAGUCCUGGGCUGUUCUGGGCUGUCCCUGAGGCUGUAUGACCCUGGCCCUGCAAUCCCAAAGGAUUAAACUUGCCCCCUCGGAGACAUACCAGGAGCGGUGUCCCGCCAGGGCCAGGGGCUGACAGACGGCCCCUCAGAGCAGGGCCUUGUCUAUUGAGAUUGGGACCUGCUCACCUUAAGCUCCCCACAUUCGUCUCCCCUCUGAUCCCAACUCUUGAUUUAGGUUGCCUCCCUCUCUGCCCGCCCACUAAGGGCUGGAAUGCGGUGACCCUCUAGAUUCUGGAGGGUCUAACAUUGUUAGGAAACCCUGGCUAAAUUGGUCCCACUCCAGCUGGCUUCAGACAUUCCAGGUUCUCGAAGCUGUGCAGUGCCCCUUGUCAAAUUCAUUCCGAACACCUCUGGAACUCAUGCACAUGUGUGGAGCGCCUUCCCACAUCUGGCCUGCAAACCUGUCAUGCUCCCCUAGCAUGUUCCAGCCUCCACUCUCAGCCUCUUCCUAUCCUGGGAGCAGAGCCCCUUGCUUGCUGCAGUGUCUGUCGCCUGGCAUCUGCUUACCAGCAGGUGAGGCAGGCCUGGAACCCGAUCCAGUCCAAGGGUCUCUGCUCCCAGCUCCUCUCCUCUCCAGAAAAGGAUUCAACCCCUUAAGAAAUGGGAAGUCUGUUGAGGUUGGAGUUUCCUAUAUCCUCAUAAAGGAAGAUGGAAAUCCCUUCCACAUGAAGGGCAGCAAGGGCCUUGGACAUACCACCUGCCCCACAGAGCAGCCAGCCUCUAGACAAGUGGGAAUGUUUGUCCUAGGCAAAACCAUCCUCUAAGCCCUCACCUGAAUGAUGA